ACACACACACACACACACACACACACAUAUAUAUAUAGAUAUAUAGAUAUAGAUAUAGAUAUGUAUAUAUGUGUGUGUGUGUGUGUAUUUGUGUGUGU
Molecule: microRNA precursor, 98 nt
Filed under: Podarcis lilfordi (Lilford's wall lizard)
Lineage: Eukaryota; Metazoa; Chordata; Lepidosauria; Squamata; Lacertidae
Source: RNAcentral